UACGAAGGAUCCUAGCGUUGUCCGGAUUUACUGGGUUUAAAGGGUGCGUAGGCGGACUUUUAAGUCAGUGGUGAAAGCUUGCAGCUUAACUGUAAAAUUGCCAUUGAAACUGAGAGUCUCGAGUGUAGUUGAGGUCACUGGAAUGUAUCAUGUAGCGGUGAAAUGCUUAGAUAUGAUACAGAACACCGAUUGCGAAGGCAGGUGACUAAACUAUAACUGACGCUGAGGCACGAAAGCGUGGGGAUCAAACAGG
Molecule: ribosomal RNA, 253 nt
Filed under: uncultured bacterium
Lineage: Bacteria
Description: partial 16S ribosomal RNA
Rfam family: Bacterial small subunit ribosomal RNA
Source: RNAcentral